Molecule: long non-coding RNA, 533 nt
Organism: Ceratitis capitata (Mediterranean fruit fly)
Lineage: Eukaryota; Metazoa; Arthropoda; Insecta; Diptera; Tephritidae
Exons: 2
Source: RefSeq, a predicted model, not a curated record
GUUUACAUUUCCCUUUCUCUACGCUUUUAAGCUUCUGCGCCAAAACACAUUGGUUCGGGCGGGCUAAAAUCGCUGAGUGAAAAUCGCUGAGCGUUGAGCGUUGAGUUAAGGCGCUUUUCUGACUUUUCAUUUUAGUCUUGGUUUCGUAUCCGUUCGUGGCGUUUGUUGGUCGAAUUGGUAGCAAAUGUUGUUAGCCCAGCGGUUGUCGUGGCAAUAUUAAAGUGAAAAAAGUGGAACGAAAAAUUUCGAAAAAUUGUUUUGUUCAAAAACUCUUUUGCUGCGAGUGUCAAUCCUCAUAAAUUCGUGUAAUGAAAAGACAGUUCCAAAGGAUUUUCGUGAAAAAAUUUUGAGUGGCUUUUAAAUGAUACUAAUAACUGGGGGAUUGAGUAUACAAUGAAACUGGGGGCCACAAAGAAGCAAGAAAUUUUAUCAUAAAUCGGAAUACUAAGCAAUCAAAUCUGCAAUUGGUUUUCCAUUGAAUGAACUUUUGUGGUUAAUGUUAAACGAUGAAUUUACGUUUACAGCUAAAUGUA